AAUUUAUGUAGCUGUUGAUGGCCGAUUUAUAUCUGGUUGCUGAUACGAGACUCAUUGGACAUCAUGAUUUGUGUAGCUAUCGAUGGUAAAUGUUCAGUGUGCAUCUGAUCUUAUAUAUGGCUGUUGAUGUCAGAUUUAUGGAUAUGUAUGGCAUGUGCAUGAUGUGAUACUCGUAAAUGUACUAUUAUCAUGAAUGAGUUCUUGG
RNAcentral lists this long non-coding RNA (205 nucleotides) under Sorghum bicolor (sorghum). RNAcentral's name for it is "long non-coding RNA (SBIC_LNC011214)". Lineage: Eukaryota; Viridiplantae; Streptophyta; Magnoliopsida; Poales; Poaceae. The record is from RNAcentral.